This 327-nucleotide ribosomal RNA is filed under the name uncultured eukaryote. RNAcentral describes it as "partial 18S ribosomal RNA". It matches the Rfam family "Eukaryotic small subunit ribosomal RNA", at positions 1470 to 1796 of the family's 1831-position model. The record is from RNAcentral.
CCCUUAGAUGUCCUGGGCCGCACGCGCGUUACACUGAUGCAUUCAACGAGCUUAUAACCUUGGCCGAGAGGCCUGGGCAAUCUUGUUAACGUGCAUCGUGAUAGGGAUAGAUUAUUGAAAUUAUUAAUCUUGAACGAGGAAUUCCUAGUAAACGCAGAUCAUCAAUCUGCAUUGAUUACGUCCCUGCCCUUUGUACACACCGCCCGUCGCACCUACCGAUUGGGCAAUCCGGUGAAUACUUCGGACCGUUUGCAUAGGUGGUUCGCCACCUAUACGAAUGGAAAGUCGAGUGAACCUUAUUGCUUAGAGGAAGGAGAAGUCGUAACA